RNAcentral lists this long non-coding RNA (252 nucleotides) under Vitis vinifera (wine grape). Its description in RNAcentral is "long non-coding RNA (VVIN_LNC008001)". Lineage: Eukaryota; Viridiplantae; Streptophyta; Magnoliopsida; Vitales; Vitaceae. The record is from RNAcentral.
AUAGUAUAAUCCGUAAAAAACUUAAAGGUUCCUUUUUUAUAAAUUUCUUGAUUAAACACCUUGGGUAACUUCCAAUCAUCUAAAUCAUUUUGGAUCUUAUGAUAAUUGAUCUCUUCACUAUUUACAACAGUAUCUUGAGAAUCAGUGGAUCUCCUAGACAUGGUUCUGAAAAUUGAACUCAUUUUAGGGUUUUGAUCUAGAGCCUAAUAGCAGAUUGACAGACCUUACGAGACGUCACCCCAACCCUCUUAC